UAUAUGUGCUGCUUUUACUGGUUAAUGAAUAAAGCUGCUGUUGGUCAGUGGCUUAAGAGAAUAUAGCCAGGCUGGAAGAGAUUAUCAAAGAGAAGUCACGUGGUUGCCUGCAGGAGACAGACGUGCUGGAACCUUGCUGGAAAAGUCCGCGCAGUUAAGAGCUGAAGCCCACCCUAGGCUGUACAGCAAGAUUCAGAUGCAGGAGUCCUUAGGGUGCCCUGGAUAUAUGGAGUGGCAGUCACCUCACUGUGAUUGGGAAGAGAG
This is a long non-coding RNA of Microtus oregoni (creeping vole), 264 nucleotides long. RefSeq lists it as uncharacterized. Lineage: Eukaryota; Metazoa; Chordata; Mammalia; Rodentia; Cricetidae. The transcript is spliced from 3 exons. The record is from RefSeq and is a predicted model, not a curated record.